GCGAUCCCUAGCUGGUCUGAGAGGAUGACCAGCCACACUGGGAAUUGAGACACGGGUCCAGACUCCUACGGGAGGCAGCAGUGGGGAAAUAUUGCACAAUGGGCGCAAGCCUGAUGCAGCCAUGCCGCGUGUAUGAAGAAGGCCUUCGGGUUGUAAAGUACUUUCAGCGGGGAGGAAGGCGAUGUGGUUAAUAACCGCGUCGAUUGACGUUACCCGCAGAAGAAGCACCGGCUAACUCCGUGCCAGCAGCCGCGGUAAUACGGAGGGCGCAAGCGUUAAUCGGAAUUACUGGGCGUAAAGCGCACGCAGGCGGUCUGUUAAGUCAGAUGUGAAAUCCCCGGGCUCAACCCGGGAACUGCAUUUGAAACUGGCAGGCUUGAGUCUCGUAGAGGGGGGUAGAAUUCCAGGUGUAGCGGUGAAAUGCGUAGAGAUCUGGAGGAAUACCGGUGGCGAAGGCGGCCCCCUGGACGAAGACUGACGCUCAGGUGCGAAAGCGUGGGGAGCAAACAGGAUUAGAUACCCUGGUAGUCCACGCCGUAAACGAUGUCGACUUGGAGGUUGUGCCCUUGAGGCGUGGCUUCCGGAGCUAACGCGUUAAGUCUACCGACCUGGGGAGUACGGGCC
Molecule: ribosomal RNA, 624 nt
Filed under: uncultured bacterium
Lineage: Bacteria
Description: bacterial SSU rRNA
Rfam family: Bacterial small subunit ribosomal RNA
Source: RNAcentral